Long non-coding RNA from Eleginops maclovinus (Patagonian blennie), 1586 nucleotides. RefSeq lists it as uncharacterized. Lineage: Eukaryota; Metazoa; Chordata; Actinopteri; Perciformes; Eleginopidae. The transcript has 6 exons. The record is from RefSeq and is a predicted model, not a curated record.
AAAAAAAAGAACUUGAAAUUGUUGAUCUCAUUAGAGUUUUUAAAUUAAUCUGACUCAGAAAUAAAGGUUUGCCAUAUGUAACUAACAAAAACGUGUCGGUCCAGCAAACUUCUCUCUAUAGUUGCCCUAACAAGUAUUUAAAACACAGUAUAACAAGGAUUUUUGAGUACACGCAUAUUUUCCCCGACGGAAACUCCGUAGACGACUACGCGCCUGCGCAUUGCUGUCUUCUGCGGGGUUUCCUCAUCCGAGCCCUCACUCUGAGCGGCGCUGAGCGAAUUUGUCGGACAUUUUGUGGACAGAAACAUCGACGUGUGGCCGAAUUUGGAUGCUAAGUUGGGGAUUCUUGGGAUAUUUGUCUACCGUGUUUGCCUAAACAGGGUUAUACCCCAUUGUGGCUGUUAGAAUUAGUUUUCAGGCAGAUGCAAAUAUACUUAAAAGUCUUAUGAGCUUGUUGAAGGCAACUGUGCAGAAAUUGUCGUCCUGGAUCCAGAUGUGCUGACGGAUUACCACCCACUAGAAGCAUACUCAGUUGGUGGAAAGGUGAUGGUGACCGCAAGAACAUUCAUUCUCCAUUAAAGAAACACAAAAUGACUUUGUUACUUAGGGUAGUUGUCUCCUCCAAACAUGCCCGGCGAAUCCAGCUUCCUGAAGUACCAGGAUCUGUGGCCCAACUGAUUGAUGAACUUAAAGAGAAACUUCAACUUGAAGACAUCGGACAUUGUGUCUCACCGAAAGACAGCAGCACUGAGAGGCCUGCCCAUUUUUGUCCGGGAAGACACAACCAAGUUUCUUCUGGAGUGUUUGGACACUGACCAGGAAGAAAGAGUGGUCAGAGGUGUGUCUGUGGGCAUCCUCACCGUCAUUGAAGAUGAUAAUGCCGCCAUAUCACCAAAUGUGCGAGACGUGGCUGUUGUGUUGGAAGGGACCAUUGUACUGCAUGACCUACCAGACCUCUCUACUGCCUUUGCAUACCUCUUUGGCUUACUGUAUGCCAUGAACAUUGAUUAUCCAAAGGAGAUGAGGUAUACUUUUGAAGCAAUUCAGACUAUCUUUUACGAGCUUGGCUCUCGAUGCUCGCAGCGCAUAAGGUCUCUGAAAACAAAGCUUUUGCUGUGAAUUAAUGGGGAAGCCAGACAUGACUUUAACCUAUGUUUCGCCUGUUCCAGUGCAUUGUGGUUAGUGCUCAUGUAAAACUUCACAACAUUCAUUUCAUUUUAAGCAUAUAAGUCACCUUCUGUUCUGAAAUAGAGAAUCACAGAAUUUGUGGUAGUGGAAGUUGCCAGUUCACAAGAGGGGCAUAUCCAGUGUUUCAACUGUUCAAGUUCAUUGCUGUGAUCAGGUAAAACUUCAAUGUAUGUACAUGUUUGCACAUGCAGUCAUUUUAAGCAUGCAAGUCCCAUUUGCCAUUUGCAAAUAUGUUGAAUUGUGAGUUGCCAGUUGACAAGAGGCACUGGAUUUUAAUUUUUUGUUUUGUUUUAUUCUUUAAAAAAUAUACAGUGCCAGUUCACAGGCGCAUAAAAAAAUGUUUGUAGAACUGUUCAGAACCUAUGCUUUACAAGAAGAAUAAAUAAGAUUUCAGCUAA